AUUGAACGCUGGCGGCAUGCCUUACACAUGCAAGUCGAACGGUAACAGGUCUUCGGAUGCUGACGAGUGGCGAACGGGUGAGUAAUACAUCGGAACGUGCCCGAUCGUGGGGGAUAACGAGGCGAAAGCUUUGCUAAUACCGCAUACGAUCUACGGAUGAAAGCGGGGGAUCUUCGGACCUCGCGCGGACGGAGCGGCCGAUGGCAGAUUAGGUAGUUGGUGGGAUAAAAGCUUACCAAGCCGACGAUCUGUAGCUGGUCUGAGAGGAUGAUCAGCCAUACUGGGACUGAGACACGGCCCAGACUCCUACGGGAGGCAGCAGUGGGGAAUUUUGGACAAUGGGCGAAAGCCUGAUCCAGCCAUGCCGCGUGCAGGAUGAAGGCCUUCGGGUUGUAAACUGCUUUUGUACGGAACGAAAAGCCUCUUUCUAAUAAAGAGGGGUCAUGACGGUACCGUAAGAAUAAGCACCGGCUAACUACGUG
Molecule: ribosomal RNA, 482 nt
Filed under: uncultured bacterium
Lineage: Bacteria
Description: partial 16S ribosomal RNA
Rfam family: Bacterial small subunit ribosomal RNA
Source: RNAcentral